UCCCAAGUGGUGUAUUGGUUUGUAUUCGUGGCUCUCACCCACGCGGCUCAGGUUCGGUUCCUGGAUUGGGAA
This 72-nucleotide transfer RNA is filed under the name Hofstenia miamia. RNAcentral describes it as "tRNA-Glu for anticodon CUC". It matches the Rfam family "tRNA". From Rfam's summary of the family: Transfer RNA (tRNA) molecules are approximately 80 nucleotides in length. Their secondary structure includes four short double-helical elements and three loops (D, anti-codon, and T loops). The record is from RNAcentral. Lineage: Eukaryota; Metazoa; Xenacoelomorpha; Acoela; Hofsteniidae.